Molecule: ribosomal RNA, 301 nt
Filed under: uncultured bacterium
Lineage: Bacteria
Description: partial 16S ribosomal RNA
Rfam family: Bacterial small subunit ribosomal RNA
Source: RNAcentral
CAGUAGCCGCGGGAAUACGUAGGGUGCGAGCGUUAAUCGGAAUUACUGGGCGUAAAGCGCACGUAGGCGGCUUGGUAAGACAGAUGUGAAAUCCCCGGGCUUAACCUGGGAACUGCAUUUGUGACUGGCCGGCUAGAGUAUGGCAGAGGGAGGUGGAAUUCCACGUGUAGCAGUGAAAUGCGUAGAUAUGUGGAGGAACACCGAUGGCGAAGGCAGCCUCCUGGGCCAAUACUGACGCUCAUGCACGAAAGCGUGGGGAGCAAACAGGAUUAGAUACCCCAGUAGUCCCUGUCUCUUAUAC